UACGGGGGGGGCAAGCGUUGUUCGGAAUUACUGGGCGUAAAGGGCUCGUAGGUGGCCAACUAAGUCAGACGUGAAAUCCCUCGGCUUAACCGGGGAACUGCGUCUGAUACUGGAUGGCUUGAGUUCGGGAGAGGGAUGCGGAAUUCCAGGUGUAGCGGUGAAAUGCGUAGAUAUCUGGAGGAACAUCAGUGGCGAAGGCGACUCUUUGGCCUGUAACUGACGCUGAGGCGCGAAAGCGUGGGGAGCAAACAGG
RNAcentral lists this ribosomal RNA (253 nucleotides) under uncultured bacterium. RNAcentral describes it as "partial 16S ribosomal RNA". It matches the Rfam family "Bacterial small subunit ribosomal RNA", at positions 524 to 776 of the family's 1533-position model. The record is from RNAcentral.